This 611-nucleotide long non-coding RNA is filed under the name Elaeis guineensis (African oil palm). RNAcentral's name for it is "long non-coding RNA (EGUI_LNC006635)". The record is from RNAcentral. Lineage: Eukaryota; Viridiplantae; Streptophyta; Magnoliopsida; Arecales; Arecaceae.
CCUGGACGGACUCUCCUCCAACACCGUAGAGCUCGAAGUCACUCUUCUUCAAAACUCUAAUGUUCUGCAGCCCCUGCAAUGACUUGCAUAUAUGAGAACGGCAGGCGGUAUGCAAUACUCAAGGGUCUGAAUUGGAUAAACUUAAUGACAAAAUUGUAUGUAUCUCAUACAUACCUUUUGGUGCAUUGCUUGCACCAGCCUUUACAAAUGCAAGAUAAUCCUUGCAAUUUCUUUUUCAGUAUCCUGCCUUGCUGCAGUGAAAGCAGGUACCUUGUCCGAAAGCUUUCUUCCCUUUCCUCUUCAUCUUGCCACCUUUAGGGUUCAAUCCUUUUUUUGAACCCUUCAUGCCUGAUUUCUUCUUAGAGGUCUUACCCAUAAUUAGAACUGGAGCUUUGUCCUUUUUAAUAUGGCUCCCAGCUAUUUUGAGUAUGUUUAACAGCUUAGACAAAGAGGUAUUCAGUAUGUUCAUGUGAUAAUUUACAACANNNNNNNNNNNNNNNNNNNNAUUUCUUCUUAGAGGUCUUACCCAUAAUUAGAACUGGAGCUUUGUCCUUUUUAAUAUGGCUCCCAGCUAUUUUGAGUAUGUUUAACAGCUUAGACAAAGAGGUAUU